UUUAUGGAGAGUUUGAUCCUGGCUCAGGAUGAACGCUGGCGGCGUGCCUAAUACAUGCAAGUCGAGCGAACAGAUAAGGAGCUUGCUCCUUUGACGUUAGCGGCGGACGGGUGAGUAACACGUGGGUAACCUACCUAUAAGACUGGAAUAACUCCGGGAAACCGGGGCUAAUGCCGGAUAACAUGUUGAAUCGCAUGGUUCUACAGUGAAAGACGGUCUUGCUGUCACUUAUAGAUGGACCCGCGCCGUAUUAGCUAGUUGGUGGGGUAACGGCCUACCAAGGCGACGAUACGUAGCCGACCUGAGAGGGUGAUCGGCCACACUGGAACUGAGACACGGUCCAGACUCCUACGGGAGGCAGCAGUAGGGAAUCUUCCGCAAUGGGCGAAAGCCUGACGGAGCAACGCCGCGUGAGUGAUGAAGGUCUUCGGAUCGUAAAGCUCUGUUGUUAGGGAAGAACAAAUGCGUAAGUAACUGUGC
This 480-nucleotide ribosomal RNA is filed under the name Staphylococcus pseudintermedius. RNAcentral's name for it is "bacterial SSU rRNA". It matches the Rfam family "Bacterial small subunit ribosomal RNA", at positions 1 to 478 of the family's 1533-position model. Lineage: Bacteria; Bacillati; Bacillota; Bacilli; Caryophanales; Staphylococcaceae. The record is from RNAcentral.